UACGAAGGGUGCAAGCGUUGUUCGGAAUCACUGGGCGUAAAGAAUGCGUAGGCGGCUUAACAAGUCAGGAGUGAAAUCCCAGGGCUCAACCCUGGAACUGCUUUUGAAACUGUUUUGCUAGAGUCCCGGAGGGGUUAGCGGAAUUCCGAGUGUAGAGGUGAAAUUCGCAGAUAUUCGGAGGAACACCAGUGGCGAAGGCGGCUAACUGGACGGGAACUGACGCUGAGGCAUGAAAGUGUGGGGAUCAAAC
Molecule: ribosomal RNA, 250 nt
Filed under: uncultured bacterium
Lineage: Bacteria
Description: partial 16S ribosomal RNA
Rfam family: Bacterial small subunit ribosomal RNA
Source: RNAcentral